AAAGGUGGAGAUGGAGACGACGGCGAAGAAAUUGAAGAAAAUUCAUUAACUGACAUCGACAUUUUGUGGUUAAAUCAAGAGUCGGAGUUCGCUGAAUAUAAUUACUAAAACUUUCUAUGUUGUAUGCUUUAUGUUUAUUCAAGCUUUUAUAUAUGCUUAUAUGUGGAAUUGUGAACUUUAUAUAGUUUUUAUUUGCUUACUGUUUAGACUUUAG
This 214-nucleotide long non-coding RNA is filed under the name Ananas comosus (pineapple). RNAcentral describes it as "long non-coding RNA (ACOM_LNC032543)". Lineage: Eukaryota; Viridiplantae; Streptophyta; Magnoliopsida; Poales; Bromeliaceae. The record is from RNAcentral.